AAACGAUCUAAAGUUUUUCAAUAAUUCAAUAUGCUCCCCAACAUGGAGAUAUGUACACACAUCUAUCUAUAUCUAUAGGCUAUACCACUAUUACAUUGGAUUACACACAUCUAUCUAUAUCUAUAGGCUAUACCACUAUUACAUUGGAUUGUGUUCUUCUUCUUCAGAAGGGUAGAUUAAUUAUUGUUUAAAAGACUAAUCUUUACUUGUUUGAUUUUCAGUAUAAGCAACUUUUUCAGGGUUCUUGCUUUUCCAUAUUUGUCAACUAUUCGUCAAGCAUGAUAGUCAACUAGUGAAUUAUACUGUUUAUGAUUACUCUUCCUUAUCAUGCCCAAACACUUCCUCCUUGUCCUAUAGUAUCGGGACGUUGAUGCACUCUUCCCACGCUCUUUCUUCACCGUUUCCUCAAAACUCUCGAAUGUCAAGUUGGGUGGAGUACUAAACAGUCAAUGGCUGACUUUCUGGCGUCCGACCUUAUUCGUCAACCAUGUUAGUGAUUUUAUGUUGAAUAACUUCCCUCGCUUUCAACAUUAUCAGAUCUCACAAUUGGGCCAACCUCCUCUACAACUGGCUCAGCUUAUACACCUGCAUGGUAGUAUUCCACAUCAUCUUCAUCAACCUCUUCCACAAUAACCUAAUUUUGUAUCCCUAUAUUAUUUUCCUCCAAAUUAUGCUCAACACCACCAUGCUUUACAUUAUCUCAGACCCGGUCCUCUGCAGAGGCUAAUGAGGCCAUUGCCUCGGACCCAAAACUGAAGGGGCCUCAUUUGGCCCA
This 775-nucleotide long non-coding RNA is filed under the name Olea europaea subsp. europaea. The record is from RNAcentral. Lineage: Eukaryota; Viridiplantae; Streptophyta; Magnoliopsida; Lamiales; Oleaceae.